This 467-nucleotide ribosomal RNA is filed under the name uncultured bacterium. RNAcentral describes it as "partial 16S ribosomal RNA". It matches the Rfam family "Bacterial small subunit ribosomal RNA", at positions 28 to 507 of the family's 1533-position model. The record is from RNAcentral.
GACGAACGCUGGCGGCGUGCUUAACACAUGCAGGUCGAACGGAAAGGCCCUGCUUUUGUGGGGUGCUCGAGUGGCGAACGGGUGAGUAACACGUGAGUAACCUGCCCUUGACUUUGGGAUAACUUCAGGAAACUGGGGCUAAUACCGGAUAGGAGCUCCUGCUGCAUGGUGGGGGUUGGAAAGUUUCGGCGGUUGGGGAUGGACUCGCGGCUUAUCAGCUUGUUGGUGGGGAGUGGCUUACCAAGGCUUUGACGGGUAGCCGGCCUGAGAGGGUGACCGGCCACAUUGGGACUGAGAUACGGCCCAGACUCCUACGGGAGGCAGCAGUGGGGAAUAUUGCACAAUGGGCGGAAGCCUGAUGCAGCAACGCCGCGUGCGGGAUGACGGCCUUCGGGUUGUAAACCGCUUUCGCCUGUGACGAAGCGUGAGUGACGGUAAUGGGUAAAGAAGCACCGGCUAACUACGUG